UGCAGCUGUGAGUCCGUUAACAACUUAUAAUUACAAUGGGAACUCACAUAUCGGAACUUAGCGGUUCGCACUAAUGAAAAAGCAAAACUUCCGGAUUCUAGUAAACAAAGUGUGCCUCUAGUGGUAAGCACAGCGAAUGAACGCAUGCGGGCGACGACAGGGAGCCCCCCAGAAUGCAUCUCAACUUAUCCCGAACACGCUGAGUAUACUGUAGUAUUUCUCCUUCCGAACAGUGCUAUCCAGCUUCAUCAAAAGAUUAGCUACGUUACACUUGGUAGACGGUGGCACACCUUCGGACUAUCGUUUAAGAUAGCACAAUACAUAAAUAUGGUAAGUAACUUGGUAAUGGUAAGUGAAGAAAGGUUACAUUACAUAAAUAGAGCACAAUAUACACUAAGAAGGGACACGUGAACAAUUAGGCUUAUCUUAUACAAGUUACAGCGGUUAUCCAUUACUCCUCUAAGAUGACAAAUUGACGCCGAACGUAUCCUCGCAUUCCUGUAAUUGCAUAUUAGCCUAACGUAAAUAACAAUUUUAUCGCCAGGUUUAAAAUCUUAGUAAAAAUUAAUAAGCGGCACAAUUGGCUGGCCUGUGAUUGAGUCGUUAUGGCCACUUACAUCCUACCGGUGGUCACAAGAUUUACUUUGCUCUUCCCAGCCAGGUAGGGUAUCAUGAUUUUAACCUUGCGGCAUCUGUAUUCGCUGACGCCUCUUAAAAUCACCCCCCACCCGAGUGCCGGAUACCUCGCGUAGCCACUCCGUUAACAAAUGAAUCCAAGUUAAUACCCGUUCGAAUGAACUUACAAUUUACCGCCUACAACCCAAAUUUCAUUUUAUCCUGUACAGUUUUCAGGAGAAGUUAUUUAAACAGCCGGUAUAUUAACAAGCUUUUGGUAUUAUGGUCUAAAAAGCCUAGAAUAUAUUAAUCCGCACAUGACUCUGUAACAUUUAUGAUCACCAGUGCAACACUAUGUACACGUUGCGUGACUUGUGGUACUGGGCUCUACUCCUCCU
Varroa destructor (honeybee mite) is the source of this 1013-nucleotide non-coding RNA. The record is from RefSeq and is a predicted model, not a curated record. NCBI's taxonomy places the organism in Eukaryota, Metazoa, Arthropoda, Arachnida, Mesostigmata, Varroidae.